UGUCGUCUCCUGCAGAC
Molecule: unclassified non-coding RNA, 17 nt
Filed under: Mus musculus (house mouse)
Lineage: Eukaryota; Metazoa; Chordata; Mammalia; Rodentia; Muridae
Description: oocyte_clustered_small_RNA13586
Source: RNAcentral